GUGAGUGUAUGAGUGUGAGUGUGUGAGUGAGUGUGCCCACAUGUGCACACACCUGCAGGCACACCCGCGCACCUGC
This 76-nucleotide microRNA precursor is filed under the name Otolemur garnettii (small-eared galago). RNAcentral's name for it is "miRNA (ENSOGAG00000021059.1)". Lineage: Eukaryota; Metazoa; Chordata; Mammalia; Primates; Galagidae. The record is from RNAcentral.